RNAcentral lists this ribosomal RNA (294 nucleotides) under Salmonella enterica. RNAcentral's name for it is "partial 23S ribosomal RNA". It matches the Rfam family "Bacterial large subunit ribosomal RNA", at positions 898 to 1190 of the family's 2925-position model. The record is from RNAcentral. Lineage: Bacteria; Pseudomonadati; Pseudomonadota; Gammaproteobacteria; Enterobacterales; Enterobacteriaceae.
GGGGGUAGAGCACUGUUUCGGCUAGGGGGCCAUCCCGGCUUACCAACCCGAUGCAAACUGCGAAUACCGGAGAAUGUUAUCACGGGAGACACACGGCGGGUGCUAACGUCCGUCGUGAAGAGGGAAACAACCCAGACCGCCAGCUAAGGUCCCAAAGUCAUGGUUAAGUGGGAAACGAUGUGGGAAGGCCCAGACAGCCAGGAUGUUGGCUUAGAAGCAGCCAUCAUUUAAAGAAAGCGUAAUAGCUCACUGGUCGAGUCGGCCUGCGCGGAAGAUGUAACGGGGCUAAACCAU